Molecule: ribosomal RNA, 389 nt
Filed under: Ancylomenes anthophilus
Lineage: Eukaryota; Metazoa; Arthropoda; Malacostraca; Decapoda; Palaemonidae
Description: partial 16S ribosomal RNA
Source: RNAcentral
GCUUGAAUGAAAGGUCGGAUGAGAGACUAGCUGUCUUUUUUUAUUAAAAGAAUUUAACUUUUAAGUGAAAAGGCUUAAAUAUACUAGUGGGACGAUAAGACCCUAUAAAAUUUAAUAUAAAUUGAAUAAAAUUUGAGGAUUUAGCCUAAUUCAAUUUUUUUUAGUUUAUAUUUCGUUGGGGAGACGAUGAUAUAAUCUUAACUGUCUUUUUUAUAUAAUAGUAAUAAUUAGAUUUUGAUCCUUUAUUAAAGAUUUUAAGAUUAAGUUACUUUAGGGAUAACAGCGUAAUUUUCUUUGAGAGUUCUUAUCGACAAGAGUAGUUGCGACCUCGAUGUUGAAUUAAAGUUACUGGCACGGUGUAGCCGCUUGCUUUGUGGGUCUGUUCGACC